RNAcentral lists this ribosomal RNA (184 nucleotides) under uncultured bacterium. Its description in RNAcentral is "partial 16S ribosomal RNA". It matches the Rfam family "Bacterial small subunit ribosomal RNA", at positions 1319 to 1500 of the family's 1533-position model. The record is from RNAcentral.
CGUGAAGUCGGAAUCGCUAGUAAUCGCGGAUCAGCAUGCCGCGGUGAAUACGUUCCCGGGCCUUGUACACACCGCCCGUCACACCAUGAGAGUCGGGAACACCCGAAGCCCGUAGCCUAACUUUAACGAGAGGGCGCGGUCGAAGGUGGGUUCGAUAAUUGGGGUGAAGUCGUAACAAGGUAUC